GACGAACGCUGGCGGCGUGCUUAACACAUGCAAGUCGAACGGAAAGGCCCUGCUUUUGUGGGGUGCUCGAGUGGCGAACGGGUGAGUAACACGUGAGUAACCUGCCCUUGACUUUGGGAUAACUUCAGGAAACUGGGGCUAAUACCGGAUAGGAGCUCCUGCUGCAUGGUGGGGGUUGGAAAGUUUCGGCGGUUGGGGAUGGACUCGCGGCUUAUCAGCUUGUUGGUGGGGUAGUGGCUUACCAAGGCUUUGACGGGUAGCCGGCCUGAGAGGGCGACCGGCCACAUUGGGACUGAGAUACGGCCCAGACUCCUACGGGAGGCAGCAGUGGGGAAUAUUGCACAAUGGGCGGAAGCCUGAUGCAGCAACGCCGCGUGCGGGAUGACGGCCUUCGGGUUGUAACCCGCUUUCGCCUGUGACGAAGCGUGAGUGACGGUAAUGGGUAAAGAAGCACCGGCUAACUACGUG
Molecule: ribosomal RNA, 468 nt
Filed under: uncultured bacterium
Lineage: Bacteria
Description: partial 16S ribosomal RNA
Rfam family: Bacterial small subunit ribosomal RNA
Source: RNAcentral